RNAcentral lists this ribosomal RNA (466 nucleotides) under uncultured bacterium. RNAcentral's name for it is "partial 16S ribosomal RNA". It matches the Rfam family "Bacterial small subunit ribosomal RNA", at positions 28 to 507 of the family's 1533-position model. The record is from RNAcentral.
GAUGAACGCUGGCGGCGUGCUUAACACAUGCAAGUCGAACGGAAAGGCCACAGCUUGCUGUGGUACUCGAGUGGCGAACGGGUGAGUAACACGUGGGUGAUCUGCCCUGUACUUCGGGAUAAGCUUGGGAAACUGGGUCUAAUACCGGAUAGGAAUCACAUGUGGGUGUGUGGUUGGAAAGCUUUUGCGGUAUGGGAUGAGCUCGCGGCCUAUCAGCUUGUUGGUGGGGUAAUGGCCUACCAAGGCGUCGACGGGUAGCCGGCCUGAGAGGGUGUACGGCCACAUUGGGACUGAGAUACGGCCCAGACUCCUACGGGAGGCAGCAGUGGGGAAUAUUGCACAAUGGGCGCAAGCCUGAUGCAGCGACGCCGCGUGGGGGAUGACGGCCUUCGGGUUGUAAACUCCUUUCGUCAGGGACGAAGCGAAAGUGACGGUACCCGGAUAAGAAGCACCGGCUAACUACGUG